CUGUAAGCCUGUGAAGGUGUGUCGUGAGGCAUGCUGGAGGUAUCAGAAGUGCGAAUGCUGACAUAAGUAACGAUAAAGCGGGUGAAAAGCCCGCUCGCCGGAAGACCAAGGGUUCCUGUCCAACGUUAAUCGGGGCAGGGUGAGUCGACCCCUAAGGCGAGGCCGAAAGGCGUAGUCGAUGGGAAACGGGUUAAUAUUCCCGUACUUGGUGUUACUGCGAAGGGGGGACGGAGAAGGCUAUGUUGGCCGGGCGACGGUUGUCCCGGUUUAAGCGUGUAGGCUGGUUUUCCAGGCAAAUCCGGAAAAUCAAGGCUGAGGCGUGACGACGAGGCACUACGGUGCUGAAGCAACAAAUGCCCUGCUUCCAGGAAAAGCCUCUAAGCAUCAGGUAACAUCAAAUCGUACCCCAAACCGACACAGGUGGUCAGGUAGAGAAUACCAAGGCGCUUGAGAGAACUCGGGUGAAGGAACUAGGCAAAAUGGUGCCGUAACUUCGGGAGAAGGCACGCUGACACGUAGGUGAAGUGAUUUACUCAUGGAGCUGAAGUCAGUCGAAGAUACCAGCUGGCUGCAACUGUUUAUUAAAAACACAGCACUGUGCAAACACGAAAGUGGACGUAUACGGUGUGACGCCUGCCCGGUGCCGGAAGGUUAAUUGAUGGGGUCAGCGCAAGCGAAGCUCCUGAUCGAAGCCCCGGUAAACGGCGGCCGUAACUAUAACGGUCCUAAGGUAGCGAAAUUCCUUGUCGGGUAAGUUCCGACCUGCACGAAUGGCGUAAUGAUGGCCAGGCUGUCUCCACCCGAGACUCAGUGAAAUUGAACUCGCUGUGAAGAUGCAGUGUACCCGCGGCAAGACGGAAAGACCCCGUGAACCUUUACUAUAGCUUGACACUGAACAUUGAGCCUUGAUGUGUAGGAUAGGUGGGAGGCUUUGAAGUGUGGACGCCAGUCUGCAUGGAGCCGACCUUGAAAUACCACCCUUUAAUGUUUGAUGUUCUAACGUGGACCCGUUACCCGGGUUGCGGACAGUGUCUGGUGGGUAGUUUGACUGGGGCGGUCUCCUCCUAAAGAGUAACGGAGGAGCACGAAGGUUGGCUAAUCCUGGUCGGACAUCAGGAGGUUAGUGCAAUGGCAUAAGCCAGCUUGACUGCGAGCGUGACGGCGCGAGCAGGUGCGAAAGCAGGUCAUAGUGAUCCGGUGGUUCUGAAUGGAAGGGCCAUCGCUCAACGGAUAAAAGGUACUCCGGGGAUAACAGGCUGAUACCGCCCAAGAGUUCAUAUCGACGGCGGUGUUUGGCACCUCGAUGUCGGCUCAUCACAUCCUGGGGCUGAAGUAGGUCCCAAGGGUAUGGCUGUUCGCCAUUUAAAGUGGUACGCGAGCUGGGUUUAGAACGUCGUGAGACAGUUCGGUCCCUAUCUGCCGUGGGCGCUGGAGAACUGAGGGGGGCUGCUCCUAGUACGAGAGGACCGGAGUGGACGCAUCACUGGUGUUCGGGUUGUCAUGCCAAUGGCACUGCCCGGUAGCUAAAUGCGGAAGAGAUAAGUGCUGAAAGCAUCUAAGCACGAAACUUGCCCCGAG
This 1578-nucleotide ribosomal RNA is filed under the name Salmonella enterica subsp. enterica serovar Bareilly. RNAcentral's name for it is "partial 23S ribosomal RNA". It matches the Rfam family "Bacterial large subunit ribosomal RNA", at positions 1241 to 2803 of the family's 2925-position model. Lineage: Bacteria; Pseudomonadati; Pseudomonadota; Gammaproteobacteria; Enterobacterales; Enterobacteriaceae. The record is from RNAcentral.